Molecule: long non-coding RNA, 559 nt
Organism: Ficedula albicollis (Collared flycatcher)
Lineage: Eukaryota; Metazoa; Chordata; Aves; Passeriformes; Muscicapidae
Exons: 5
Source: RefSeq, a predicted model, not a curated record
GCCGGGGGGAAACCGCUCCCGUCCUCCUGCGCUGCUCCGCUGCGGUGCUCUCCGCUAAGACGAGCAGCAAAGAAUGAAUACCUUUGACUGAUGUCUUGCUGACUGAUAUUCAUGAAACGAACUCUGUUCAGCAAAUGUUGAUCUCAAUCCAUGAAGGGCAUGCCACACUUGGCAGCAGCUGUAUAAGACUUGCUGAUCCAGGAUUUCUUGUGGAUCUGGACCUUGCUUUUAACCCUUGGCGGUACAGGGAACAUCACUCCUCCCACUCCCCUGACCAGCCUGUGUGUGCUGUAUCUGCUUGAUUCUGACCAGAGAAGAUUCUGUUGGAUGUGGCCAAGAUGCAAGUGUCCAACUUCUCUACCAUGCUUGAGAGGUCAAGUGGCACAGAUCUGCAUGGAUUGCUCUCUAGUCAUUCAUUCAGCCUGAAAGUUGUCUGAUUCCCGAGGGAGAUUGCCAGCCUAUGCUCUUUCUGAGGUAUAGAGCAGGAAGGGGAGCUUGUGUGUGAUAAGGCAAAGGAACAGUCUUAGCUUGCCAUGAAGAAACAAAGGAAUUACAGAGA